UACGGGGGGGGCAAGCGUUGUUCGGAAUUACUGGGCGUAAAGGGCGCGUAGGCGGCCAUCUAAGUCAGACGUGAAAUCCCCCGGCUCAACCUGGGAACUGCGUCUGAUACUGGACGGCUUGAGUUUGGGAGAGGGAUGUAGAAUUCCAGGUGUAGCGGUGAAAUUCGUAGAUAUCGGGAGGAACACCGGUGGCGAAGGCGGCGACCUGGGUCGAGACUGACGCUAAUACGCGAAAGCGUGGGGAGCAAACAGG
Molecule: ribosomal RNA, 253 nt
Filed under: uncultured bacterium
Lineage: Bacteria
Description: partial 16S ribosomal RNA
Rfam family: Bacterial small subunit ribosomal RNA
Source: RNAcentral